GAACUAAGGAAGCCAAAGUGGAAGGUCUGAGGUGUGUCCCAUUGAAGAUGCUGUCUACCAGUGCUCUAAGGCAGGUAGAGAAAGGCCCAUUUCAGAUCUAACCACUGCCCUUGAUCUCCUGGCUCUGAUCCCAAAUCAGAAAGAUGUUGGUGAUUUGCAGUUAUCCACCUGCCCCACCUACCUGGAUCUAGGACAGUGGAGGCACCCAGAGCAGGUUAAAGAAGGCCGUAGCGAAUUGGACAAGAUUUUGUUAUUGCAACCUUCAGAUGAAUACCAGCCAUACCAGCUGACAGUUUAAUUGUCAUGGGGCUUCCAAAGGAGGAAACAGUUGGCUGGCUUCUUUCUAAUACAUUGGAGCUUGGGCCAGCCUCUUUGAUUGCACAGGCAAACCUGCAAGACGAGAGAUGCAGAAACACCCAUACCUCCAUGGCCUAAAAACAGAUUAGAAGACAGACGGAAGCUUGUGACCCUACAUAGCAAAAUAGCGCUGUGCUCACUGGCCCUGGAGCCCUGCACUCCGCAGCCAUGCUGAGUAGCUGAUGAGAUGCGCACCCAGCUUGAACGUCAGACGCCCCAAGGCCCUGCAGCCUCGUCUGCCUGCUGUACUGCUGCCAUUUGCACCCUGUGGGUCCUUCCUGGAGGUGGAGCGACCCCUUCCCCUCCUCUGGGCCUGGAGGAGGG
This is a long non-coding RNA of Bos taurus (domestic cattle), 681 nucleotides long. The record is from Ensembl. NCBI's taxonomy places the organism in Eukaryota, Metazoa, Chordata, Mammalia, Artiodactyla, Bovidae.